GCAAGUUUGGAUGGUGGUUUAUGAAUAGAUUUCAGCACAAUUCAGCAAGCCCACCACCAAACAUUAGUUUGGUUGUCUGUAAUGGUAUUACGGGCCUGAAUUGAUUUAAGGUUUAUUCUCUUCUCUCAUCAUUGAACCGUCAUUCAACUCGUGGAGUAAGGAUUUUUUUUCCCAAUUUCAAUUUUUUCCCUCACCUCUGCCGAAAGAAUGAAGAAACUGUAACUUUCUUUUCUUCCCAUCUCUACGUUUCCUUUUUUUCCCUUUGAUUACAAAGGAGACCUAGGGAAGCCAUCAUUCUUUUAAGCCAAUAAAAUCCUUUGAUUGCAGAGUUGCAACCCUUUUUUUCAUUUUUCAUUUUUACUUUUUCACUGCAUUUCUGAUUUCAUUGCUUUGAUUUCACAAAUGCUAGAAAGAUAACAAGGUGAUUUGUUUUAGGUGAAGAUGAAAGACUGGGAGGAUGAGAUUCCACCUCUGCUUGCAAAGGAACAACUUAAAAGCAAAUGGGAUGAUGAAGAUAUUGAUGACUCUGAUAUCAAGAAAUCAUGGGAGGAUGAAGAUGAACUUGCUUCGCCUCCAGUAUAAUGGGCUUCAUUGUAACUUGUAUUAGCUUGUAGAAGAAGCCGAUUAUAAAUCAACGACUGAACUAUUUUCCAAGAAAGGUGAUGAUAAGACUUUAGAUAAUUAUAUUCCCAAAUUUGAAAGUGACUUUGUGGAGUAUGCUGAGCAUAUUUCUACCAAGCUUCGCCCAUAUGAGAAAAGUUAUCACUAUAUUGCACUAAUCAAGGCCGUGAUGAGACUAUCAUUGACUUCUUUGGAAGCAGCUGAUGUCAAAGGGUUUUGGCAUGAUGCAGAGACUAAGAGGAUUGAAGACCAGGGGGAGUAUGGAAAGUGAUUCAGAUUGAAGGCCAUGGGGGGUAUGGAAAGUGAUUCAGAUUCAAAUUGAAGAUACAUCAAUGGCAGCUAUUCAGAUUGGAUAGGGGUCAUCUUGCUGGGGUUUGUUUGGUGUAUAGAUUGUUUGAUAUAUUUCAUGCAUAUAAAAAUGAGAAUAAUUAUUGUUUUUGGAUCAAUAUUUGUAAUUUUGGCAACUAUGAUCCCAUGAGAUUAUGUUAUAAUUUUUAUUAAA
Molecule: RNA transcript, 1123 nt
Organism: Gossypium arboreum
Lineage: Eukaryota; Viridiplantae; Streptophyta; Magnoliopsida; Malvales; Malvaceae
Exons: 5
Source: RefSeq, a predicted model, not a curated record